RNAcentral lists this ribosomal RNA (990 nucleotides) under Triticum aestivum (bread wheat). RNAcentral describes it as "partial small subunit ribosomal RNA". The record is from RNAcentral. Lineage: Eukaryota; Viridiplantae; Streptophyta; Magnoliopsida; Poales; Poaceae.
AUGCCGUUGUCUCAGGUUCGUGAGUUUUCAUCUCUGCACGAUAAGUUGAGAGAUGGCUGUGGUGUUGAGGGUGCUGCGUUGGAGCACGCUGAGCAUAUUUUAAGUAAUGUGUGUUCUGAGCUGCAAAAGGUCCCUACGACAGUUGAGAGUCUGAGCUGUAUCAAUGGUAUCCUUCCUGAACGUCAUCAGUUUAACGCUGAGGAAGCAGUGGACUAUAUUGAGAUGGAGAGAAUUUUUAUUGGUGAUAUGCAUAACGGUGCUGCUGAUCUAGUUCAGAGCUCGGUUCGUCUGUUGAAAAACAUGAAGCGUUUCAAAACUAUGCAGGACUCUCGUUGCAAGCCAUAUGAAGAAAGUGCAGAUGUUGUUAUCAGGCAGAUUGAGCAGGAUGAGGCUGCUGCCACUGACAGUAGGGCUGGUGAUGGUACCGAGGCUAAUGUUUCUGAUCAUGAAACGAAUGAUGUUGGAUUGGAGUGCCCUGUUGUUGAUAUUGAGCAGGAUGAGGCUGCUACCACUGACAACAGGGCUGAUGAUGGUACUGAGGCUAAUGUUUCUGAUCACCAUACGAACGAUGUUGGCUUGGAGCACCCUGUUGUUGAUGAGACCAGUCAUAAUGUUGAGGCUGCUGUUGACGGCGGAGUUAAUGAUCCAUCUACUGAUAAGUGCAAGGGUCCUGUUGUUGGCGACGAGCCUUGUUCGCCCGUUGGUGAUGUUCCUUUGAAUGUUAGCAGCAGCAAGAUCAAUGAUGUUGCUGUGAAUGCUUCUAAGAUAACUGAUGUUGAGAGUGAGGCUGUCGUUAGUGGUGGAGAUGAUGCUCGUGGUGUUCCAUUGAGUAGUGGGCGCGAUGUUGGUACCAAAGUUGCUGAUGAGGUUGUUGGUGCUGCCAGUAUACUUGAUGCCAAAUCGUCUGGUGUUGGUAUUGUUGGGAAUGAAAAUGUUUUUGAUUAUGAAGAUUUGUCGCCGGAGAAUUUCUCGCUUGGAGGUCUUGAUUAG